Molecule: ribosomal RNA, 418 nt
Filed under: Escherichia coli
Lineage: Bacteria; Pseudomonadati; Pseudomonadota; Gammaproteobacteria; Enterobacterales; Enterobacteriaceae
Description: partial 23S ribosomal RNA
Rfam family: Bacterial large subunit ribosomal RNA
Source: RNAcentral
GGGUUGUGAGGUUAAGCGACUAAGCGUACACGGUGGAUGCCCUGGCAGUCAGAGGCGAUGAAGGACGUGCUAAUCUGCGAUAAGCGUCGGUGAGGUGAUAUGAACCGUUAUAACCGGCGAUUUCCGAAUGGGGAAACCCAGUGUGUUUCGACACACUAUCAUUAACUGAAUCCAUAGGUUAAUGAGGCGAACCGGGGGAACUGAAACAUCUAAGUACCCCGAGGAAAAGAAAUCAACCGAGAUUCCCCCAGUAGCGGCGAGCGAACGGGGAGGAGCCCAGAGCCUGAAUCAGUGUGUGUGUUAGUGGAAGCGUCUGGAAAGGCGCGCGAUACAGGGUGACAGCCCCGUACACAAAAAUGCACAUGCUGUGAGCUCGAUGAGUAGGGCGGGACACGUGGUAUCCUGUCUGAAUAUGGGG